This 770-nucleotide unclassified non-coding RNA is filed under the name Hevea brasiliensis (rubber tree). The record is from RNAcentral. Lineage: Eukaryota; Viridiplantae; Streptophyta; Magnoliopsida; Malpighiales; Euphorbiaceae.
CUGCUGAUGUAGGGCUUAAAGAGGAAAAUUCAGAUGAUGAUCGGGGGCAUGGCUUUUUUGGACUGAACAGGCGGCUCGAUGGACUCAACCAAUUACAUACAUAGAUAUUUAUGAGUGUGAUAGUUUUACAAUGUGUAUAUUCUGCUUUCCUACUUCCUCAGUAAUUCCGCUCCAUGACCAUCCUGGCAUGACUGUUUUCAGUAAAGUUCUCUAUGGCUCCUUGCAUGUGAAAGCUUAUGACUGGGUUGAACCUACCUGCAUUUAUAAAAGCAAGGGAUCUAGUUAUCCACCAGUAAAGUUGGCAAAGUUGGCAGUUGAUAAAGUUUUGACAGCUCCAUGCGGAACAUCAGUCUUGUACCCAAAAAGUGGGGGCAAUCUCCAUUGUUUCACUGCAGUCACCCCUUGUGCUGUGCUUGACAUUCUCACACCACCUUACAGGGAAGAUGCUGGGAGGAAAUGUGCGUACUACCACGAUUACCCUUAUUCCUCCUUCUCUACAGGAAAUGGAACUGAGAAGAGUGAUGGAAAAGAAGAAGACCAUGCAUGGCUUGCAGAGAUGGGAACUCCAGACAAUCUUUAUAUGCGUCAAGGAGUAUAUACAGGCCCGGCUGUUAAUGUUUAGCUCUUAUUUUCAGUAAAGUCCAUGCAGAUAUCAAAUUCUAAUACCUCUAAAUGAAGCCAAUAGUCUUUAUCAUUUGAUCCAAUUGCUAAGAUCUAUGCUUGCACUGAAUUAUUUGAAAAUGUGGAUUCUAAUGCCUAAUUAAUUAGAC